GGACCACAGGUGUUACGGUUGCAUAGCUCGCUCUUAACGAGUUUGGUCAGGGUUCGAAUCCCUGGUAGUCCACCA
This 75-nucleotide transfer RNA is filed under the name uncultured archaeon. RNAcentral's name for it is "tRNA-Lys(ctt)". It matches the Rfam family "tRNA". Rfam says of the family: Transfer RNA (tRNA) molecules are approximately 80 nucleotides in length. Their secondary structure includes four short double-helical elements and three loops (D, anti-codon, and T loops). The record is from RNAcentral.